Long non-coding RNA from Perognathus longimembris pacificus (Pacific pocket mouse), 303 nucleotides. RefSeq lists it as uncharacterized. The record is from RefSeq and is a predicted model, not a curated record. The transcript has 3 exons. NCBI's taxonomy places the organism in Eukaryota, Metazoa, Chordata, Mammalia, Rodentia, Heteromyidae.
UGGGGGGGGGAUGCUGGGAAAGGGAGGACUCCAGGACUUGAAAUAGAGCAGGUAGUAUUUGUCUUUCUCACUCCUGCCUCCCACUGUUUGGAUGUGUUGUCCCUGAAUAUUUGUCUUCUUUCUGUGGUUUCACCUUAGCCCUUAAACAAAACUAACAAGCUGGAGUCUUCUUCAUUGGCAUUUUGACACUUUUUUGAUCUAUAACUAAAGCUACAGAAUACAGGACUAUUUAUAACAAAUUUUAUUUUUUGCUAUUUUUUUUCAUUUUUGUUCAUUUAUCUGUCUUUGGGAGUGAGAAAUGAA